This 299-nucleotide small nuclear RNA is filed under the name Octodon degus (degu). RNAcentral's name for it is "7SK RNA (ENSODEG00000023062.1)". It matches the Rfam family "7SK RNA". Rfam says of the family: 7SK was discovered as an abundant small nuclear RNA in the mid-70s but a possible function has only recently been suggested. Two independent studies have found that 7SK RNA binds the CDK9/cyclin T complex (known as elongation factor P-TEFb). Lineage: Eukaryota; Metazoa; Chordata; Mammalia; Rodentia; Octodontidae. The record is from Rfam by way of RNAcentral.
GAACAUGAGGACAAUAUCGCUGUGACACCUGUCACCACACUGACUGCCAGGGCUGAUUGGCUGAUCUGGCUGGCUAGGUGAGCGGCCCCCUCCUCCCUCAAUGCCCCACGAGUAUCCCAAAGUUGUGCGCUCCAUUGAAGAAGAUGACCACUCUCAACAGAGGAGGAUCUUUUAUUUUACCAAAAGUAUAUGAGUUCUGCUCCCCUUCUCGAACCUCUAAACAAGCUCUCAAAAAGAAUGCAAUUAUAAAUGUGAUUGCAUUGAAAUUUUAAAACUUUUGUGGUCCAAAAAUAACAUUA